Molecule: ribosomal RNA, 406 nt
Filed under: uncultured bacterium
Lineage: Bacteria
Description: partial 16S ribosomal RNA
Rfam family: Bacterial small subunit ribosomal RNA
Source: RNAcentral
AUUGAACGCUGGCGGCAGGCCUAACACAUGCAAGUCGAACGAGUGGCGGACGGGUGAGUAAUGUCUGGGAAACUGCCCGAUGGCGGGGGAUAACUACUGGAAACGGUAGCUAAUACCGCCUACCAUCGGAUGUGCCCAGAUGGGAUUAGCUAGUAGGUGGGGUAACGGCUCACCUAGGCGACGAUCCCUAGCUGGUCUGAGAGGAUGACCAGCCACACUGGAACUGAGACACGGCCCAGACUCCUACGGGAGGCAGCAGUGGGGAAUAUUGCACAAUGGGCGAAAGUCUGAGGCAGCCAUGCCGCGUGUAUGAAGAAGGCUUUCGGGUUGUAAAGUACUGUCAGCGAGGAGGCGUUACUCGAAGAAGAAGCACCGGCUAACUCCGUGCCAGCCGCCGCGGUAAUUC